This 315-nucleotide ribosomal RNA is filed under the name Triticum aestivum (bread wheat). RNAcentral describes it as "partial small subunit ribosomal RNA". Lineage: Eukaryota; Viridiplantae; Streptophyta; Magnoliopsida; Poales; Poaceae. The record is from RNAcentral.
AUGGAUCGGCAUGCCCUAUUGUGGACGAAGUUUGCCAGGGACUUGGUCUUUGACAUCGAAGAGUGGAUCGACGAGCCAAAGGCCACAUAUUUCUCGGAGAGAGAGAUGACUGCUUUGUUCAAGUCCCGGAUCCGCAAUGUGCUUGAGCAGUUCACGUGGUGCGACCUUCUCAGUCCAACUGAAGAUCGCUUCAAGAUCAUUGAUGAUUUACAUAAAGAUCUGGAGAGCCUUAAAAAGGAUCUCCCAUAUAAGUUUGGGCCACCGAUGAGUCUUGAGCAGUCAGUGUGGAUGGAUCGAACAUGUUUUUUUUUUUGA